RNAcentral lists this microRNA precursor (154 nucleotides) under Amborella trichopoda. RNAcentral's name for it is "MIR8565 microRNA precursor family". It matches the Rfam family "MIR8565 microRNA precursor family". The record is from Rfam by way of RNAcentral. Lineage: Eukaryota; Viridiplantae; Streptophyta; Magnoliopsida; Amborellales; Amborellaceae.
CUCACACCCAUAUGUGUAGGACCCCAAAGGAUCACCAUUAAAUUUGGCAUAGAGAUCUAAAAAAGUUAUCACAUGGGUGUGAGACUUGACUUUUUUAGAGAUCUAUGCUAAAUUUAAUGGUGAUCCUUUGGGGUCCUACACACAUGGGUGUAGG